AUUGAACGCUGGCGGCGUGCUUAACACAUGCAAGUCGAACGCGAAAGGGGCUUCGGCUCCGAGUAGAGUGGCGCACGGGUGAGUAACGCGUGGAUGAUCUGCCCUGAUGUUGGGAAUAACAGUUGGAAACGGCUGCUAAUACCGAAUACGCUCCCCUUUCACCAUGGGAGGAAAGACGGCCUCUGCUUGCAAGCUGUCGCAUGAGGAUGAGUCCGCGUCCCAUUAGCUAGUUGGUGAGGUAACGGCCCACCAAGGCGACGAUGGGUAGCCGAUUUGAGAGGAUGAUCGGCCACACUGGAACUGAAACACGGUCCAGACUCCUACGGGAGGCAGCAGUGGGGAAUAUUGCGCAAUGGGCGAAAGCCUGACGCAGCGACGCCGCGUGAGGGAUGAAAGGUCUUCGGAUCGUAAACCUCUGUCAGAAGGGAAGAAAGCAGCGGGUGCCAAUCAGCCUGCUGUUGACGGUACCUUCAAAGGAAGCACCGGCUAACUCCGUGCCAGCAGCCGC
RNAcentral lists this ribosomal RNA (508 nucleotides) under uncultured bacterium. RNAcentral describes it as "bacterial SSU rRNA". It matches the Rfam family "Bacterial small subunit ribosomal RNA", at positions 30 to 518 of the family's 1533-position model. The record is from RNAcentral.